RNAcentral lists this ribosomal RNA (253 nucleotides) under uncultured bacterium. RNAcentral describes it as "partial 16S ribosomal RNA". It matches the Rfam family "Bacterial small subunit ribosomal RNA", at positions 524 to 776 of the family's 1533-position model. The record is from RNAcentral.
UACGAAGGGGGCUAGCGUUGCUCGGAAUUACUGGGCGUAAAGCGCACGUAGGCGGUCUUUUAAGUCGGGGGUAAAAUCCUGGAGCUCAACUCCAGAACUGCCUUCGAUACUGGAAGACUUGAGUCCGGGAGAGGUGAGUGGAACUGCGAGUGUAGAGGUGAAAUUCGUAGAUAUUCGCAAGAACACCAGUGGCGAAGGCGGCUCACUGGCCCGGUACUGACGCUGAGGUGCGAAAGCGUGGGGAGCAAACAGG